UUUUAAGGUUGUUAUAUUAUUUAAGAAUUUAAGAGAAGCUGAUGGAAAUAAUGACAUUUUUUAUUUAUUGUUAAACACAGAUUAAAUAUGAAUAUUAAAAGUUUCCUGAAACCUAAUUUGGUGUGACCCCCACCAGAGGCCACAACAAAUCCCAGACUAAUUUCCAAAGAUCACUGGACCUGUUCUUGGAUUUUACUAUGGCCAUACAAUCAGCUCCUCCAUACCACUGUGAGUGCCUGUGUGUGUGGCUGCAGCCGGAGGCCUGCAGAUUGGAAUGUUGAUGAAGGGAAGCAGAAGUGCUGAGGAAUGAAUCUGUGUUCAAGUAAAGCAAUAAUCCAUCUGUGUGUCCACAGCUCUUAUAUAAAAUAAAGCUACCUUUGAU
Molecule: long non-coding RNA, 382 nt
Filed under: Anser brachyrhynchus (Pink-footed goose)
Lineage: Eukaryota; Metazoa; Chordata; Aves; Anseriformes; Anatidae
Description: lncRNA (ENSABRG00000011304.1)
Source: RNAcentral